AUUGAACGCUGGCGGAAUGCUUUACACAUGCAAGUCGAACGGUAGAGGGGGCAACCCCUCGAGAGUGGCGAACGGGUGAGUAAUAUAUCGGAACGUGCCCAGUCGUGGGGGAUAACGUAGCGAAAGUUACGCUAAUACCGCAUACGAUCUAAGGAUGAAAGCGGGGGAUCGCAAGACCUCGCGCGAUUGGAGCGGGCGAUAUCAGAUUAGGUAGUUGGUGGGGUAAAGGCACACAAAGACAACGAUAUGUAGCCGGUCUGAGAGGACGACCAGCCACACUGGAACUGAGACACGGUCCAGACUCCUACGGGAGGCAGCAGUGGGGAAUUUUGGACAAUGGACGCAAGUCUGAUCCAGCCAUUCCGCGUGCAGGAUGAAGGCCCUCGGGUUGUAAACUGCUUUUGUACGGAACGAAAAGGUCUCUCUUAAUACGGGGGACUCAUGACGGUACCGUAAGAAUAAGCACCGGCUAACUACGUGCCAGCCGCCGCUGUAA
This 496-nucleotide ribosomal RNA is filed under the name uncultured bacterium. Its description in RNAcentral is "partial 16S ribosomal RNA". It matches the Rfam family "Bacterial small subunit ribosomal RNA", at positions 30 to 523 of the family's 1533-position model. The record is from RNAcentral.